This 477-nucleotide ribosomal RNA is filed under the name uncultured bacterium. Its description in RNAcentral is "partial 16S ribosomal RNA". It matches the Rfam family "Bacterial small subunit ribosomal RNA", at positions 28 to 506 of the family's 1533-position model. The record is from RNAcentral.
GAUGAACGCUGGCGGCGUGCUUAACACAUGCAAGUCGAACGGGAAACCUUUUAUUGAAGCUUCGGCAGAUUUAGCUGGUUUCUAGUGGCGGACGGGUGAGUAACGCGUGGGUAACCUGCCUUAUACAGGGGGAUAACAGUCAGAAAUGGCUGCUAAUACCGCAUAAGCGCACAGAGCUGCAUGGCUCAGUGUGAAAAACUCCGGUGGUAUAAGAUGGACCCGCGUUGGAUUAGCUGGUUGGUGGGGUAACGGCCCACCAAGGCGACGAUCCAUAGCCGGCCUGAGAGGGUGAACGGCCACAUUGGGACUGAGACACGGCCCAGACCCCUACGGGGGGCAGCAGGGGGGAAAAUUGCACAAUGGGGGAAACCCUGAUGCAGCGACGCCGGGGGAAGGAAGAAGUAUCUCGGUAUGAAAACUUCUACCAGCAGGGAAGAUAAGGACGGUACCUGACAAAGAAGCCCCGGCUAACUACGG